GAUGAACGCUAGCGGCAGGCCUAACACAUGCAAGUCGAGGGGUAACUUAGUUGAUAGCAAUAUUAGCUAGGCUAGACCGGCGCACGGGUGCGUAACACGUAUGCAACCUACCUUAUACUGGAGCAUAACUUCGAGAAAUCGAUGCUAAUUCUCCAUAAUACUUUUGUACGGCAUCGUAUGAUAGUUAAAGUUUCGGCGGUAUAAGAUGGGCAUGCGUCCAAUUAGCUAGUUGGUGAGGUAACGGCUCACCAAGGCUACGAUUGGUAGGGGUUCUGAGAGGAUGAUCCCCCACACUGGUACUGAGACACGGACCAGACUCCUACGGGAGGCAGCAGUGAGGAAUAUUGCGCAAUGGACGAAAGUCUGACGCAGCCAUGCCGCGUGA
Molecule: ribosomal RNA, 385 nt
Filed under: uncultured bacterium
Lineage: Bacteria
Description: bacterial SSU rRNA
Rfam family: Bacterial small subunit ribosomal RNA
Source: RNAcentral